This 494-nucleotide ribosomal RNA is filed under the name uncultured bacterium. Its description in RNAcentral is "partial 16S ribosomal RNA". It matches the Rfam family "Bacterial small subunit ribosomal RNA", at positions 28 to 507 of the family's 1533-position model. The record is from RNAcentral.
GACGAACGCUGGCGGCGUGCUUAACACAUGCAAGUCGAACGGAAAGGCCUGCUUUCCCUUGUGGAUUGCGGGUACUCGAGUGGCGAACGGGUGAGUAACACGUGAGUGAUCUGCCCCCAACUUGGGUAUAAGCCUGGGAAACUGGGUCUAAUUCCCGAUAGGACUGCAGGGUGGUGCCUGUGGUGGAAAACGAUUUUAUAGUGGAUGGGGAUGAGCUCGCGGCCUAUCAGCUUGUUGGUGGGGGAAUGGCCUACCAAGGCGGCGACGGGUAGCCGGCCUGAGAGGGUGGACGGCCACAUUGGGACUGAGAUACGGCCCAGACUCCGACGGGAGGCAGCAGUGGGGAAUAUUGCACAAUGGGCGGAAGCCUGAGGCAGCGACGCCGCGUGGGGGAUGACGGCCUUCGGGUUGUAAACUCCUUUCGACCGCGAGGAAGCCACCUGGUUGGAAGGGUGGUGACGGUAGUGGUAGAAGAAGCACCGGCUAACUACGUG